GGGCGCAUAGCUCAGUCGGUAGAGCAACUGCCUUUUAAGCAGUAGGUCGUUGGUUCGAGUCCAACUGCGCCCA
RNAcentral lists this transfer RNA (73 nucleotides) under Planctomycetota bacterium. Its description in RNAcentral is "tRNA-Lys". It matches the Rfam family "tRNA". Rfam says of the family: Transfer RNA (tRNA) molecules are approximately 80 nucleotides in length. Their secondary structure includes four short double-helical elements and three loops (D, anti-codon, and T loops). The record is from RNAcentral. Lineage: Bacteria; Pseudomonadati; Planctomycetota.